This 367-nucleotide ribosomal RNA is filed under the name uncultured organism. Its description in RNAcentral is "bacterial SSU rRNA". It matches the Rfam family "Bacterial small subunit ribosomal RNA", at positions 526 to 896 of the family's 1533-position model. The record is from RNAcentral.
CGGAGGGUGCAAGCGUUAUCCGGAUUUAUGGGUUUAAAGGGUCCGUAGGCGGAUCCGUAAGUCAGUGGUGAAAUCUCACAGCUUAACUGUGAAACUGCCAUUGAUACUGCGGGUCUUGAGUAAGGUAGAAGUGGCUGGAAUAAGUAGUGUAGCGGUGAAAUGCAUAGAUAUUACUUAGAACACCAAUUGCGAAGGCAGGUCACUAUGUCUUAACUGACGCUGAUGGACGAAAGCGUGGGGAGCGAACAGGAUUAGAUACCCUGGUAGUCCACGCCGUAAACGAUGCUAACUCGUUUUUGGGCUUUCGGGUUCAGAGACUAAGCGAAAGUGAUAAGUUAGCCACCUGGGGAGUGCGUUCGCAAGAAUG